ACGUCAGUAGCACAGUGAUAGUGCUGCCGAAGCUUAAUCUAUAGUCGGUGGUUCGAUUCUACCUUGGUGAA
RNAcentral lists this transfer RNA (71 nucleotides) under Caenorhabditis remanei. RNAcentral's name for it is "tRNA-Lys". Lineage: Eukaryota; Metazoa; Nematoda; Chromadorea; Rhabditida; Rhabditidae. The record is from RNAcentral.